This 761-nucleotide ribosomal RNA is filed under the name uncultured marine bacterium. RNAcentral describes it as "bacterial SSU rRNA". It matches the Rfam family "Bacterial small subunit ribosomal RNA", at positions 86 to 884 of the family's 1533-position model. The record is from RNAcentral.
CAAUACUUAGUGGCAGACGGGUGAGUAACAUGUAGGUAUCUACCCUAUGGCCUGGAAUAACACGAGGAAACUUGUGCUAAUACCGGAUAAGUCUUUACGGAGAAAGCUUUAUGCACCAUUGGAUGAGCCUGCACUUGAUUAGUUUGUUGGUAGGGUAAUGGCCUACCAAGACUGUGAUCAAUAGCUGAUUUGAGAGGAUGAUCAGCCACAUUGGGACUGAGACACGGCCCAAACUCCUACGGGAGGCAGCAGUGGGGAAUCUUGCACAAUGGAGGAAACUCUGAUGCAGCGAUGCCGCGUGAGUGAAGAAGGCCCUUGGGUUGUAAAGCUCUUUCGUCGGGGAAGAAAAUGACUGUACCCGAAUAAGAAGGUCCGGCUAACUUCGUGCCAGCAGCCGCGGUAAUACGAAGGGACCUAGCGUAGUUCGGAAUUACUGGGCUUAAAGAGUUCGUAGGUGGUUGAAAAAGUUGGUGGUGAAAUCCCAGAGCUUAACUCUGGAACUGCCAUCAAAACUUUUCAGCUAGAGUAUGAUAGAGGAAAGCAGAAUUUCUAGUGUAGAGGUGAAAUUCGUAGAUAUUAGAAAGAAUACCAAUUGCGAAGGCAGCUUUCUGGAUCAUUACUGACACUGAGGAACGAAAGCAUGGGUAGCGAAGAGGAUUAGAUACCCUCGUAGUCCAUGCCGUAAACGAUGUGUGUUAGACGUUGGAAAUUUAUUUUCAGUGUCGCAGCGAAAGCGAUAAACACACCGCCUGGGGAGUACG